UGGCUCAGGAUGAACGCUAGCUACAGGCUUAACACAUGCAAGUCGAGGGGCAGCAUUAGGUAGCAAUACUGAGAUGGCGACCGGCGCACGGGUGCGUAACGCGUAUCCAACCUUCCCGUUACUCUUGGAUAGCCUUCCGAAAGGGAGAUUAAUACAAGAUGGUGUUUCAAAUUCGCAUGUAAAUGAAACUAAAGAUUUAUCGGUAACGGAUGGGGAUGCGUUCCAUUAGCUUGUUGGCGGGGUAACGGCCCACCAAGGCAACGAUGGAUAGGGGUUCUGAGAGGAAGGUCCCCCACACUGGAACUGAGACACGGUCCAGACUCCUACGGGAGGCAGCAGUGAGGAAUAUUGGUCAAUGGUCGAGAGACUGAACCAGCCAAGUAGCGUGAAGGAUGAAGGUUCUAUGGAUUGUAAACUUCUUUUAUAAGGGAAUAAAACCGCCUACGUGUAGGUGCUUGUAUGUACCUUAUGAAUAAGCAUCGGCUAACUCCGUGCCAGCAGCCGCGGUAAUACGGAGGAUGCGAGCGUUAUCCGGAUUUAUUGGGUUUAAAGGGAGCGUAGACGGGAGAUUAAGUCAGUUGUGAAAGUUUGAGGCCCAACCUUAAAAUUGCAGUUGAUACUGGUUUCCUUGAGUGCGGUUGAGGUGUGUGGAAUUCGUGGUGUAGCGGUGAAAUGCUUAGAUAUCACGAAGAACUCCUAUUGCGAAGGCAGCACACUAAGCCGCUACUGACGUUGAGGCUCGAAAGUGUGGGUAUCAAACAGGAUUAGAUACCCUGGUAGUCCACACAGUAAACGAUGAAUACUCGCUGUUGGCGAUAUACGGUCAGCGGCCAAGCGAAAGCAUUAAGUAUUCCACCUGGGGAGUACGCCGGCAACGGUGAAACUCAAAGGAAUUGACGGGGGCCCGCACAAGCGGAGGAACAUGUGGUUUAAUUCGAUGAUACGCGAGGAACCUUACCCGGGCUUAAAUUGCACUGGACAGGCUCAGAGAUGGGCCCUUCUUCGGACCAGUGUGAAGGUGCUGCAUGGUUGUCGUCAGCUCGUGCCGUGAGGUGUCGGCUUAAGUGCCAUAACGAGCGCAACCCUUGCCUUUAGUUACUAACAGUUUAUGCUGAGGACUCUAAAGGGACUGCCAUCGUAAGAUGUGAGGAAGGUGGGGAUGACGUCAAAUCAGCACGGCCCUUACGU
Molecule: ribosomal RNA, 1188 nt
Filed under: uncultured bacterium
Lineage: Bacteria
Description: bacterial SSU rRNA
Rfam family: Bacterial small subunit ribosomal RNA
Source: RNAcentral